RNAcentral lists this ribosomal RNA (507 nucleotides) under uncultured bacterium. RNAcentral's name for it is "partial 16S ribosomal RNA". It matches the Rfam family "Bacterial small subunit ribosomal RNA", at positions 35 to 539 of the family's 1533-position model. The record is from RNAcentral.
GACGAACGCUGGCGGCGUGCUUAACACAUGCAAGUCGAACGGAAAGGCCCUGCUUUUGUGGGGUGCUCGAGUGGCGAACGGGUGAGUAACACGUGAGUAACCUGCCCUUGACUUUGGGAUAACUUCAGGAAACUGGGGCUAAUACCGGAUAGGAGCUCCUGCUGCAUGGUGGGGGUUGGAAAGUUUCGGCGGUUGGGGAUGGACUCGCGGCUUAUCAGCUUGUUGGUGGGGGAGUGGCUUACCAAGGCUUUGACGGGUAGCCGGCCUGAGAGGGUGACCGGCCAAAUUGGAGCGGCGACUCGGCCGAGUCUGCGAGGCGAGGGAGUAGGAGGGAAUGGUGCACAGGGGGUGGAAGCCUGACGCAGGAGCGCCGGGGGCGGGAUGCGGGCCGUCGGGUGGCAGACUGCGUGCGCCUGUGACGAGUGUUGAGAUACUAGAAGGAAUAAAGAACCACCGGCUAACUACGUGCCAGCAUCCGCGUUCAUAAUCAAAAUCCCCCGCUUGACC